Molecule: RNA transcript, 719 nt
Organism: Homo sapiens (human)
Lineage: Eukaryota; Metazoa; Chordata; Mammalia; Primates; Hominidae
Gene: SPRR2C
Gene name: small proline rich protein 2C (pseudogene)
Exons: 2
Source: RefSeq, marked validated
AGUUCCGUUUCCCCCUGGGUGGGGCAGCAGGCCCUGUGAAGAGGUUCUCAGCCUCAUGACUCCUAAACUCCUGGUACUUGAGCACCGAUCUGCUUUGGAGAACCUGAUUCUGAGACUCCAGCAGGAUGUCUUAUCAACAGUAGCAAUGUAAGCAGCCCUGCCAGCCACCUCCUGUGUGCCGCCUGCCAAAGCGUCCAGAGCCAUGUCCACCCCUGAAGUGCCCUGAGCCCUGCCCACCACCAAAGUGUCCACAGCCCUGCCCACCUCAGCAGUGCCAGCAGAAAUAUCCUCUGGUGACACCUUCCCCACCCUGCCAGCCAAAGUGUCCACCCAAGAGCAAGUAACAGCUUCGGAAUUCAUCAGGACCACGAAAGGAUAGGGAUAAUUGGCUCACCUCGUUCCACAGCUCCACCUGCAUCUUCUCAUCAAAGCCAUCCAGGGAUACACAGGGAGCUUCUUUCCCCUUAGCCUGUGAUCUGCCCAUGAUGAUCCCCGACAGCAAAAUGUUUCCUUUCUGAGGCUGCCAUGCUGCCACUGUCCAGGUGGAGACUGAGCAAAGGAAGUCCUCAGCUGUACCGGCCUUUCAGAGCUUCUCUUUGGGUGCCAUCAAAGAAUUAUUUUGAUGUCUUCUGUCUCUGUCUGUCACCUGGCAUGAGCUUCUACUAUCUGUGCAAUUGUCACUUUUCUUUCACUCCCUGAAUAAAGUAGCUAUGCCUAUA